This 200-nucleotide ribosomal RNA is filed under the name uncultured bacterium. Its description in RNAcentral is "partial 16S ribosomal RNA". It matches the Rfam family "Bacterial small subunit ribosomal RNA", at positions 8 to 202 of the family's 1533-position model. The record is from RNAcentral.
AGAGUUUGAUCAUGGCUCAGGAUGAACGCUAGCGGCAGGCCUAAUACAUGCAAGCCGAACGGCAAGUUGAGUAGCAAUACUUAACCUAGAGUGGCGUAAGGGUGCGUAACACGUAUGCAAUCUGCCCGCAACAGGAGGAUAGCUCCCCGAAAGGGGAAUUAAGCCUCCAUAGGACCACACGAGGGCAUCUGAGAGUGGUU